GGGGAAGUCGGUGUAAAUCCGACGCUGUCCCGCAACCGUAAGAGAUUAAAAAUCUUAAGUCGGAUUACCC
RNAcentral lists this non-coding RNA (70 nucleotides) under Actinomycetes (high G+C Gram-positive bacteria). The record is from RNAcentral. Lineage: Bacteria; Bacillati; Actinomycetota.